Molecule: long non-coding RNA, 489 nt
Organism: Tachysurus fulvidraco (yellow catfish)
Lineage: Eukaryota; Metazoa; Chordata; Actinopteri; Siluriformes; Bagridae
Exons: 3
Source: RefSeq, a predicted model, not a curated record
UAAGAGGGUGGGUAGGAUAAUUACACAGGUGUUUAAAGUCUCGCGACACUGAGAAUCUAUCGUUUGAUCCCGUUCCCUCUGGUAUGUGUGUGCGUUGGAAGGACUGCUGCGACUAGUCUGUUAUACGAUCUUGUUAAAAAUUAUCGUUCUAUUUCGUUUCCUCUGGUAUGCCUGUGCCCUAAAGGUCGCUGUGGAUAUUCUGCCUCUUCAAUUUGGUGGAGUUAGCGACUUUAGUGAUUGCUGGGCAUUCUUAAGGGGUGUCCUGUAUCAGUUCCUAAAAGUAGACGCACCGCUUUCCAGAACAGGAUGUGUAGCAAAUAACCAAUUGCUCGAUAACACCUGAUAUCACUAGCCAGCUUCGUUCAUAUUGGACAAAGGGGAAAAGCUUCUCUUCAAAUGAGGUAGCCAGGUUAAUCUGGCUGUUUUAAAAGGAGGAGUACUUUUGGCUGUUGAUUGGGCAACCACUGUUUCUUUCCUUUUGUAUUUUUC